UCCAGUAGGCUGAGGGCUUCCUGCUUCAGUGCUUCCAGUAGGCUAAAUUUCCCCUUCAUCCUUCAUCUUCACUUCACCGGAUUCAACUUCCAGUAGGCUAAAUUUCCUUCCUGCUUCCACCCGGUUUCCUUCGGAAUUCGGAUCCUUGAGCUGAAUCCUUCCAGAUCCAGCCUCCACUUGAGUCAGACAAAGACGACCUCGACCGUCCGCUCAGAUGAAGCCUCCACCUGAAUCCUUCCGCCGUUCCACUCGACAACACUCAGACGAAGAUGACCUCACCUGAGUCACCUCGACCCCGGCUCGACCCCGCGACCUCGACCCUACGACCGCGACCGCGACCCCGACCCCGCGACCCUCGAGCCCUCUCUCCGACCUAAAACGAAGACGGCGUCACCUCGACCUCAGACGAAGUUGACCUCACCUCGACAGCGCGACCUUGACCCUGGCUCGACCACGCGACCAGGACCUCGGGUAUCCCUGCAGACCCCGUCGCACUCCCCUUCCCUAUCCCGGCCUUGCUGGUUGUUUUUAUUUCCUCCAAUCUCGAAGGUGAGGACGAGAUUGUAGGGAGGACGACAUUGUAGAGAGAUUCAGUGAGGAAGAGGGGGAAGGAGAAGUUGAUGCAAAGGUGGAUGACUUCAUCAACAGGUUCAAGCAGCAGCCGAAGCUGCAGAGGAUCAAUUCCAUCAUGAGGUUUAGGGACAUGGUAAAUAGAGGAAGAGGUAGAUGAUCAGAACAAACUCGAAGUUGUUUCCUUUUGUUAUGUGGACGAAUGAAUUCCUUAGCAUUCUAUGUAUUUUGGAUGUUAAUGCUUGGAAGUAUUAGGCUUUUUUUUUUAUUUCGUUUAAUUAUUCUCUAAGGUUAGAUAAAAGAACUUGGUCCUGUUUCUACGUUUUUGGUUGAACAUCCAGUUCUAUUGUACAAUGAAAGUUGCCUUCUUGAUUCGGAGUUGGCACUGCUGAUCUC
This is a non-coding RNA of Punica granatum (pomegranate), 966 nucleotides long. NCBI's taxonomy places the organism in Eukaryota, Viridiplantae, Streptophyta, Magnoliopsida, Myrtales, Lythraceae. The record is from RefSeq and is a predicted model, not a curated record.